Small nuclear RNA from Hippopotamus amphibius kiboko, 104 nucleotides. Lineage: Eukaryota; Metazoa; Chordata; Mammalia; Artiodactyla; Hippopotamidae. The record is from RefSeq and is a predicted model, not a curated record.
GUGCUCACCAUGGCAGCACAGACAUUAAAAUUGGAAAGAUGCAGAGAUUAGCAGGGCCCCUGCACAAGGAUGACACGCAAACUCAUGAGGUAUUCCAUAUUUUU